Non-coding RNA from Triticum aestivum (bread wheat), 133 nucleotides. NCBI's taxonomy places the organism in Eukaryota, Viridiplantae, Streptophyta, Magnoliopsida, Poales, Poaceae. The record is from Rfam.
UAAAUACUCCCUCCGCCCGGAAAUACUUGUCAUCAAAAUUGAUGAAAAUAGAUGUAUCUAGAACUAAAAUGUCUAGAUACAUCCUUUUUUAACUAUUUUGAUGACAAGUAUUUUCGGACGGAGGGAGUAUAAG